RNAcentral lists this transfer RNA (78 nucleotides) under Bacillus phage vB_BanS_MrDarsey. RNAcentral's name for it is "tRNA-Arg". It matches the Rfam family "tRNA". Rfam says of the family: Transfer RNA (tRNA) molecules are approximately 80 nucleotides in length. Their secondary structure includes four short double-helical elements and three loops (D, anti-codon, and T loops). Further hydrogen bonds mediate the characteristic L-shaped molecular structure. tRNAs have two regions of fundamental functional importance: the anti-codon, which is responsible for specific mRNA codon recognition, and the 3' end, to which the tRNAs corresponding amino acid is attached (by aminoacyl-tRNA synthetases). tRNAs cope with the degeneracy of the genetic code in two manners: having more than one tRNA (with a specific anti-codon) for a particular amino acid; and 'wobble' base-pairing, i.e. permitting non-standard base-pairing at the 3rd anti-codon position. The record is from RNAcentral. Lineage: Duplodnaviria; Heunggongvirae; Uroviricota; Caudoviricetes.
UACCCCAGAAGCACAAUUGGAUGUGCAAGUGGCUUCUAUCCACAAGGUUGAAGGUUCGAAUCCUUUCUGGGGUGCUAA